Molecule: ribosomal RNA, 500 nt
Filed under: uncultured bacterium
Lineage: Bacteria
Description: partial 16S ribosomal RNA
Rfam family: Bacterial small subunit ribosomal RNA
Source: RNAcentral
AUUGAAUGCUGGCGGAGUGCUUUACACAUGCAAGUCGAACGGCAGCACGGACUUCGGUCUGGUGGCGAGUGGCGAACGGGUGAGUAAUGUAUCGGAACGUGCCCAGUCGUGGGGGAUAACGUAGUGAAAAUUACGCUAAUACCGCAUACGAUCUAUGGAUGAAAGCGGGGGAUCGCAAGACCUCGCGCGAUUGGAGCGGCCGAUAUCAGAUUAGGUAGGUGGGGGGGUAAAGGCCCACCAAGCCAACGAUCUGUAGCUGGUCUGAGAGGCCGACCAGCGCGACUGGAACGGAGACACGGUCCAGACUCAUACGGGAGGCAGCAGUGGGGAAUUUGGGACAAUGGGCGAAAGCCUGAUCCAGCCAUUCCGCGUGCAGGAUGAAGGCCCUCGGGUUGUAAACUGCUUUUGUACAGAACGAAAAGGUUUCUACUAAUACUAGGAGCUCAUGACGGUACUGUAAGAAUAAGCACCGGCUAACUACGUGCCAGCAGCCGCGGUAA